RNAcentral lists this small RNA (162 nucleotides) under Prosthecodimorpha hirschii. RNAcentral's name for it is "Prosthecomicrobium hirschii Alphaproteobacterial sRNA ar45". It matches the Rfam family "Alphaproteobacterial sRNA ar45". Lineage: Bacteria; Pseudomonadati; Pseudomonadota; Alphaproteobacteria; Hyphomicrobiales; Ancalomicrobiaceae. The record is from Rfam by way of RNAcentral.
GCCCAAUUUCGCACGUGCCUGUGGCUGCGUGCCGGUAGGCGACACCCGAGGGACAAGAGGCCCGGAGGUCGCCUGGGCAAACCGGCAGCCGGAGAUCAGAACCGGCGCACUCGGCGUCUCACGCCGGGAACGCGGCUUGAAGCAACGACGUAGAGGGCUUUU